RNAcentral lists this long non-coding RNA (249 nucleotides) under Elaeis guineensis (African oil palm). Its description in RNAcentral is "long non-coding RNA (EGUI_LNC047654)". The record is from RNAcentral. Lineage: Eukaryota; Viridiplantae; Streptophyta; Magnoliopsida; Arecales; Arecaceae.
AACCUAAUAGCCCAAAGAUUAGAUAAAGUCGACCUUCUUGCCCAAAAAUUUGAUCAGUUUCUAGCAUUAGGUCAAUAAUCUCCUGCACAAUACACACCACCACUUAAUUAUCAGGAGAUUUGUUCUAUUUGUGCUAGCCUGGCCCAUCAUGUGAGUGAAUAUCCCAUGACUGCACAGUUUCCAUCUUUCAUCCAAGAACAAGUUCAAGCUACUCAAGGUUACUCUAGUCCUAUUAAUGAUUUAUUCUUA